RNAcentral lists this ribosomal RNA (114 nucleotides) under Bacillus canaveralius. Its description in RNAcentral is "partial 23S ribosomal RNA". It matches the Rfam family "Bacterial large subunit ribosomal RNA", at positions 2813 to 2925 of the family's 2925-position model. The record is from RNAcentral. Lineage: Bacteria; Bacillati; Bacillota; Bacilli; Caryophanales; Bacillaceae.
CCCAUAGCGCAAGCUAGUAAGAUCCCUGAAAGAUGAUCAGGUUGAUAGGUCAGAGGUGGAAGCGUGGCGACAUGUGGAGCUGACUGAUACUAAUCGAUCGAGGACUUAACCACA